UUUUACUACAACAUCCUAGAGAACUAUUCACCCGAAAUUAGAAGAGCUAAUGUUAUUAUGUUUUUAGAUAAUUUCCUUGCUGUGGCAUCAGCAAGUUACAAAAAAAUAUUAGAAGUGAAAUACUUACAAUUCUAAAGAUAGCUGGAUGAUUGCGAAAUACAUCUAGUGUAUACUAAAAAUUUACAAAGUGUUUAGAAUUUGUAAAUAUAAAUUUUCCUUUACUAGCAAAAAUAUUCUUGUAUUAUAAUAUAAAAUGAGUAAUUUAUUUUCACUCAUGAUUAAUAUCUAGUUUAAAUAUUAACUAAUAGCACUUAAAUUCUCUUAAUGAGUAGAUGAUUCUAUAAUGUAAAAAUUAGUAAAAUUAAGAUAUCUAUAUAAGGAACUCGACAAAUAUAUUUCUUGACUGUUUAUCAAAAACAUAGCGACAUGAUAUUAUAUGUGGUUUAAUCUGCCCGGUGAUCUAUUUAACGGCCGCAGUACUUUAACUGUGCUAAGGUAGCAUAAUAAUUUGGCUUUUAAUUGGGGUCUGGAAUGAAAGAACACACAAGGAAUUAUUGUCCCAUAAGGAUAUACUAAACUUAAUAAGUAAGUGAAAAUGCUUACAAUUCUAAAACAAAAGACGAGAAGACCCUUAGAAUUUUAAGAAGAUAAUUCAUAAGCUAUUAAAACUUUUUGUUGGGGCAACAUCUUAUCAGUCUUAAUAUGGGAUAUAUUAAAUAAUCUACCGAUUAAAUAUUUAAAACAAAAUUACCUAAGGGAUAACAGCAUAAUUUUAAAUAAAAAGAUUGUGACCUCGAUGUUGGACUAGGGACUACACCUGUUAAUCGCAACUGUAGCUUGUUCUGUUCGAACAUCUUAACCCUACAUGAUCUGAGUUCAGACCGG
This 885-nucleotide ribosomal RNA is filed under the name Charpentieria stenzii cincta. Its description in RNAcentral is "partial 16S ribosomal RNA". The record is from RNAcentral. Lineage: Eukaryota; Metazoa; Mollusca; Gastropoda; Stylommatophora; Clausiliidae.